Molecule: long non-coding RNA, 223 nt
Filed under: Solanum tuberosum (potato)
Lineage: Eukaryota; Viridiplantae; Streptophyta; Magnoliopsida; Solanales; Solanaceae
Description: long non-coding RNA (STUB_LNC000333)
Source: RNAcentral
ACGUCCAAAAAAUAUAAAUAGUCAAGAAAAAGACAUAAAAACACCUCAAAAAAAUCCUGAAUAUCACUUGUCACCUUAUAAUAUAGAUACGUAAUUAGAUAUCAAUAUUUCACAUUUUUUUGUUAAUUCCCAAAAAAUAUAAUAAUUUUAAUUCGUAAACCUGCGAAAAAUAUAGAAAUCAAGAAAAAGACAUAAAAACACUUCAAAAAAUUCUUGAAUCGCA